AUUUAGAUAGUUUAAUAAAAAUGUUGGUUUGUGGUUCCAAAGAUAUGUGAGGUUAUUCUAAAUU
Molecule: transfer RNA, 64 nt
Filed under: Tenebrionoidea sp. 15 KM-2017
Lineage: Eukaryota; Metazoa; Arthropoda; Insecta; Coleoptera
Description: tRNA-His
Source: RNAcentral